GACGAACGCUGGCGGCGCGCUUAACACAUGCAAGUCGAACGGAAAGGCCCUGCUUUUGUGGGGUGCUCGAGUGGCGAACGGGUGAGUAACACGUGAGUAACCUGCCCUUGACUUUGGGAUAACUUCAGGAAACUGGGGCUAAUACCGGAUAGGAGCUCCUGCUGCAUGGUGGGGGUUGGAAAGUUUCGGCGGUUGGGGAUGGACUUGCGGCUUAUCAGCUUGUUGGUGGGGUAGUGGCUUACCAAGGCUGUGACGGGUAGCCGGCCUGAGAGGGUGACCGGCCACAUGGGGACUGAUACUCGGCCCAGACGCCGUCGGGAGGCAGCAGUGGUGAAUAUAGCACAAUUGGCGGAAGCCUGAGUCAGCGACGCCGCGUGCGGGAUUGCGACCUUCGGUUUGUAACCCGCAUGCGCCUUUGACGGAGCGGGAGUGACGGUAAUGGGAAAAGAAGCACCGGCUAACUACGUG
This 468-nucleotide ribosomal RNA is filed under the name uncultured bacterium. RNAcentral's name for it is "partial 16S ribosomal RNA". It matches the Rfam family "Bacterial small subunit ribosomal RNA", at positions 28 to 507 of the family's 1533-position model. The record is from RNAcentral.